This 1449-nucleotide long non-coding RNA is filed under the name Gallus gallus (chicken). Lineage: Eukaryota; Metazoa; Chordata; Aves; Galliformes; Phasianidae. The record is from RNAcentral.
AAAGGCAAAUUACUUUAAUAGAUCAGUUUAGACAUUUAACAUAACUCACAUCCAUUUUAAAUACUAUUACAUAAAGCAUGGUGAAGAAAGGAAUUUCUGCCUCAUAAUUAGAAAACUCACAAUACAACUUGCCAAAAACCAGAACAAAGCCGUUUGAAAAUAAAUACGGUCCAUGCCAAAUAGUACAAAAAUGAAAUCAGCAGUCUUUCUCAAUAUGAAAACUUCUUCCUUUAGGUAUUCUCCAAUUCUAGCAUUAUGUUCUGCAAUUGAUGUGAGGCUAUCUUUUGUUCAAGGAUUGCUGAGCUGUUCUGAUUUUGCUCCUUUGGUGUCCGUCUUUUCACCACUGUUGUCCUUGGAUUUAUCCUCCUCCUUAACAUCUGCUUUUUUGUCCUCUGUCUCUUUCUUGUCUUCCUCUAUCCUAGCUUUCUUUGCUCCUUUCUUGUGAUCUGCAACAUUUCGCCGUCCACCUUCCCCUUCAUCUUCAGAGUCUGAAAACUCCUCAUCACAGGCAAUGCGCUUAUCAGAUGCUCGAAUAGAAAUGCGUUUGUCUGGAUCUUCUCCAUCCUCAUCUCCACUAUCUUCAUGAACAGCAUCUUCAGGAAUGGCCUGCAUCUGUACACCAGGUGCAUGAGGUAACAUGCGCAAGUUUUCAAAUAAGCGUUGCUUGAUCUUUUCCAUAUAUUCUGGUGUAUUCUGAUUAGUCAUAUUUGAUGGACUAAUAUGAAGUUUGAAGUCUGGUCCAAAAUACUCAAAGUAAUCAUUGUAUGGUAAUUCAUUAGGAAUUUCACAAUCUAAGGCAACAGCAGUUUCAUAUGUCCAGCAUCGAGCAACAUUGCGAAUAGUAUAUCCACCUCCUCCUAACAUCAGCAAUGGCAAGUUGAAGGUCUUUACAACUUCCACACAUUUUGCAUGACCUUUAACAGUAAGAUUAAAGCAUCCCAACCUAUCACCAGACAAUGAAUCUGCUCCACACUGUAAUACUACAGCACUGGGCUGGUACAUCUCCAUUACUUUUGAUAUAAUUGGUUUGAAUAUCUGUCCAUACGACUCAUCAUCUAUACCAUCCCUCAUUGGAAAGUUGACAGCAUAGUAUUUGCCUUUUCCAGCACCAAUGUCCCUAAGGUCCCCUGUGCCUGGAAAAUAUUCACCAUACUUAUGGAAUGAUACUGUCAUGACACGAUCUGUGGUAUAAAAUGCUUCUUCAACACCAUCACCAUGAUGGAUAUCAAUAUCAAUAUACAACACUCUUUGGUGAUACUUCAGUAACUCAAGGAUGGCAAGCACAAUAUCAUUGACAUAACAAAAACCAGAUGCCUCUGACUUCUUGGCAUGGUGAAGUCCUCCAGCCCAAUUAACAGCCAUGUCUGUCUGCUGUCUGUUCAAUUUUACCGCCCCAGCAACAGAGCCUCCAGUUGACAGCUGACAAAACUCAAACAGGCCAUCAAAUAC